UGGGGAAUAUUGGACAAUGGGCGCAAGCCUGAUCCAGCCAUGCCGCGUGAGUGAUGAAGGCCCUAGGGUUGUAAAGCUCUUUCACCGGUGAAGAUAAUGACGGUAACCGGAGAAGAAGCCCCGACUAACUUCGUGCCAGCAGCCGCGGUAAUACGAAGGGGGCUAGCGUUGUUCGGAUUUACUGGGCGUAAAGCGCACGUAGGCGGACUAUUAAGUCAGGGGUGAAAUCCCGGGGCUCAACCCCGGAACUGCCUUUGAUACUGGUAGUCUUGAGUAUGGUAGAGGUGAGUGGAAUUCCGAGUGUAGAGGUGAAAUUCGUAGAUAUUCGGAGGAACACCAGUGGCGAAGGCGGCUCACUGGACCAUUACUGACGCUGAGGUGCGAAAGAGUGGGGAGCAAACAGG
Molecule: ribosomal RNA, 404 nt
Filed under: Actinomycetes bacterium
Lineage: Bacteria; Bacillati; Actinomycetota; Actinomycetes
Description: Actinobacteria bacterium partial 16S ribosomal RNA
Rfam family: Bacterial small subunit ribosomal RNA
Source: RNAcentral